RNAcentral lists this ribosomal RNA (253 nucleotides) under uncultured bacterium. RNAcentral describes it as "partial 16S ribosomal RNA". It matches the Rfam family "Bacterial small subunit ribosomal RNA", at positions 524 to 776 of the family's 1533-position model. The record is from RNAcentral.
UACGGAGGGUGCGAGCGUUGUCCGGAAUCACUGGGCGUAAAGGGCGCGUAGGCGGCCGCGUAAGUCACUUGUGAAAUCCCGGGGCUCAACUCCGGGGCUGCAGGUGAGACUGCGUGGCUAGAGCACGGUAGAGGCGAGUGGAAUUCCCGGUGUAGCGGUGGAAUGCGUAGAUAUCGGGAAGAACACCGGUGGCGAAGGCGGCUCGCUGGGCCGUUGCUGACGCUGAGGCGCGAAAGCGUGGGGAGCAAACAGG